Homarus americanus (American lobster) is the source of this 377-nucleotide long non-coding RNA. RefSeq lists it as uncharacterized. The transcript has 3 exons. The record is from RefSeq and is a predicted model, not a curated record. NCBI's taxonomy places the organism in Eukaryota, Metazoa, Arthropoda, Malacostraca, Decapoda, Nephropidae.
GGCACUAAUCUCAUCAUUUUUUCUGGUCAACACAGGUGUGGGAUGAUGGCAAUGCGUUAAUCAACAACGGUUUCAUUACCUCGCGCAAAAGGUCCCUCCUUCCCGCUGACCGCACGCGCCGAGCCUUACCUGUCGACCCACUGGAGAGAGGCGAUUACUGUUGUGGGAGUGUGGUACCCCUAGACCCAGCCGCAGCCACCCCUACAGGUGAUUUCUUCCGCUUUGCUUCAGGAGGAUCAGUCCAGGUAACUCAGACCCCAACUGGAGAUGAUGCUCUACCACCAUCCCGGGUCACAGACCUGCAGGUGACUUAUUCACACUCAACCAUGAACAUCACCUGGACGGCUCCAGGGGACGAUUAUGACUCAGGCACAGGU